GACGUAGGGGGCGAGCGUUGUCCGGAUUCAUUGGGCGUAAAGCGUGCGUAGGCGGCUGCGCAAGUCGGGUGUGAAACCCCGGGGCUCAACCCCGGAACUGCAUCCGAUACUGCGUGGCUAGAGGUAGGUAGGGGAGAUCGGAAUUCCUGGUGUAGCGGUGAAAUGCGCAGAUAUCAGGAGGAACACCGGUGGCGAAGGCGGAUCUCUGGGCCUUACCUGACGCUCAGGCACGAAAGCUAGGGGAGCGAACAGG
This 253-nucleotide ribosomal RNA is filed under the name uncultured bacterium. Its description in RNAcentral is "partial 16S ribosomal RNA". It matches the Rfam family "Bacterial small subunit ribosomal RNA", at positions 524 to 776 of the family's 1533-position model. The record is from RNAcentral.